UGCCGUGAGGUGUUGGGUUAAGUCCCGCAACGAGCGCAACCCUCGUCGCUAGUUAUUCUCUCUAGCGAGACAGCCUCCCGCAAGGAGGAGGAAGGUGGGGACGACGUCAAGUCAUCAUGGCCCUUAUGUCCAGGGCUACACACACGCUACAAUGGCCGGUACAAUGGGUUGCCAAAUCGUGAGAUGGAGCCAAUCCCACCAAAGCCGGCCCCAGUUGGAAUUGCAGGCUGAAACCCGCCUGCAUGAACGCGGAAUCGCUAGUAACCGCAGGUCAGCAUACUGCGGUGAAUACGUUCCCGGGCCUUGUACACACCGCCCGUCACGUCAUGGAAGCCGAGAAUGCCUGAAGUCCGUGGGCUAACCCGCAAGGGAGGCAGCGGCCGAGGGUGGGGCCGGUGACUGGGACGAAGUCGUAACAAGGUAGCUGUACCGGAAGGUGCGGCUGGAUCACCUCCUUU
Molecule: ribosomal RNA, 458 nt
Filed under: Chloroflexota bacterium
Lineage: Bacteria; Bacillati; Chloroflexota
Description: bacterial SSU rRNA
Rfam family: Bacterial small subunit ribosomal RNA
Source: RNAcentral